AAAAAUGUUGUCGAAUAUGUACAGAUGUCAUUUUCAUUUGAAAUAUCCCGACUCUUACUCAAUAUCACUUGCUUCAACUAACAUUUAAACAUUUUUGUCUACCUUUAAUACUCAGAAAUAUCACCAAUACACUAUCUUUAAAACCAUAUCCUCCACCUUAUAUGAUUACCAACCUACUUUUAUAUCCAACCACAUACUAGAAGAUGAUCCAAACAAAUAUUUCUACAAGUAAAAUAUUUUCCUACUUACCAAAUGCAGUCAACUUAGUUAUAAAAAAAAUGCAGUCAACUUUUCUCCAAGUGAGGUUUGAAUAAACUGGCCAUAUUGCUUUGCCCAACUAUUGUCUGACAAGAGAGGGAGGACAAAGGUAACUUUCAAGGCAAAUUAUAUUUUUGCGAUUACUGUCUAAUCUGUGGAGCACAUCAAAGUGUUUGUGGACAUUAGGUUUUGAUUCUGUAACAGUUCUAGCCUUCCUGCUACCUUGAUUAUUUAGUUGUCUACUGAUUCUCACUCUCAGGGGAGAUUAUAUGUAUGUGAUUACUGUCUCAUAUGUGGAGUGUCAGUAACCAGGUCUUACCUUCUAGCCCUGAUCUCCACUUGAAAUCUGAUUCUAAUUUCUUUCCCACUUAUAAGCAUACACAUCUAAUUACUGGUGAAAGUGGAGGAUAUUGAUGCUUAUGCCCCAAAAGGUUUGCUGAUAGGGACAACAGGCUCUCAAGUAAGUGGCAUUGCUGUUUCUGGUGGCUUUGCAAGCUUCGGUCACUAAUUAAAUAGCCUAAGUAUGCUUCUUGUGUCAGGCUGAACCACGUGCUGCAUUAAAUCUUGCAUCCUAUGGCAGUAGUCAUUCGCUCAAGUUGAACAAAGAUGAUAUAAUUUUGUAUUCAGCCAAGGUAUCCACCUAUGUGCUGUUAAAGAUUCCGGUUGAUAAAACAUUAACACUGUCUGGUUGUCCUUCCAAAACCAAACAAAAAUUGGAAAGUCAAAUAAACAUAAAGAAAAGAUGCAAAUCAGGUCCCGUUUGUGAUAAGGCACCACGAGGGGAAAUUGACAGGAAAAGAUCUUCAUUUGUAUACUUGCACUGUUUCCUUUGCUUGAAUGACAAACAAGUCAGGGGAACAAUAUUUAGACGGGUCAACUGUUUUUUUUUACUCUUUAUAAAUUUAUUUUUAGUUUUAUGACCCUAACUCGUUUUUUUACAUUUUACUACAUAGGUUUAUUUGAUAGUCUGGUCCUAGCCUCGUCUCUACUUCGUCGAGAUUAGGCUAGACACUUACCAGCACAUGGGGUCGGUUGUGCUGAUACUACACUCUGCACUAUGUGCAGAUUUCGGAGCAGCUUUUGGACCGUAGUGUGGAGGCUACCUUCAGUCCACGCGGAAAUCCAAAGUAGACUUGCAGGCGUCCGCAGUCCCUGGCGUCUCCCUCUAUCCCUAUUUUCCUAUUUCAUUUCCCUUAUAUUCCGAAACAGUGUACUGUUUUUUCUUCAGAGUUUGUAUGUAGAAAUCUAAAAAUAUCAUUUUCUUAAAUUAUAAAUUGUAAAGGAGCAUAUGCACAAAUAGCACCUGAAUUUAUACUGGGAAUUAAAUUCAUUCAUCC
This 1595-nucleotide long non-coding RNA is filed under the name Nicotiana tabacum (common tobacco). RNAcentral describes it as "long non-coding RNA (NTAB_LNC009463)". Lineage: Eukaryota; Viridiplantae; Streptophyta; Magnoliopsida; Solanales; Solanaceae. The record is from RNAcentral.